RNAcentral lists this transfer RNA (76 nucleotides) under compost metagenome. RNAcentral's name for it is "tRNA-Arg". The record is from RNAcentral.
CUCCCUGUCCUGAUGGAUUGCAGGCUUCGGUUUACGAAACCGAUUGUCCUUGGUUCGAUUCCAAGCAGGGAGGCCA